Molecule: ribosomal RNA, 441 nt
Filed under: uncultured bacterium
Lineage: Bacteria
Description: partial 16S ribosomal RNA
Rfam family: Bacterial small subunit ribosomal RNA
Source: RNAcentral
CCUACGGGGGGCAGCAGUGGGGAAUAUUGCACAAUGGGGGAAACCCUGAUGCAGCGACGCCGCGUGAGUGAAGAAGUAUUUCGGUAUGUAAAGCUCUAUCAGCAGGAACGAAACAAGACUGUACCUGACUAAGAAGCCCCGGCUAACUACGUGCCAGCAGCCGCGGUAAUACGUAGGGGGCAAGCGUUAUCCGGAAUCACUGGGGGGAAAGGGAUCGUAGACGGCAGGGCAAGCCUGGAGUGAAAGGCGGGGGCCCAACCCCCGGACUGCUUUGGGAACUGUACGGCUGGAGUGCAGGAGAGGUAAGUGGAAGUCCUAGUGUAGCGGUGAAAUGCGUAGAUAUUAGGAGGAACACCAGUGGCGAAGGCGGCUUACUGGACUGUAACUGACGUUGAGGCUCGAAAGCGUGGGGAGCAAACAGGAUUAGAUACCCGUGUAGUC